GAUGAACGCUAGCGGCAGGCUUAAUACAUGCAAGUCGAGGGGCAACAGGGGUAGCAAUACCUGCUGGCGACCGGCAAACGGGUGCGGAACACGUACAGAACCUUCCUUUAAGCGGGGGAUAGCCCGGAGAAAUCCGGAUUAAUACCCCAUAGUAAUAUUGGUUGGCAUCAACUGGUAUUUAAAGAUUUAUCACUUAGAGAUGGCUGUGCGGCUGAUUAGGUAGUUGGUGUGGGUAACGGCCCACCAAGCCUGCGAUCAGUAACUGGUGUGAGAGCACGACCAGUCACACGGGCACUGAGACACGGGCCCGACUCCUACGGGAGGCAGCAGUAAGGAAUAUUGGUCAAUGGACGCAAGUCUGAACCAGCCAUGCCGCGUGAAGGAUGAAGGUCCUCUGGAUUUGUAAACUUUCUUUUAUGUGGGACGAAAUGCUAUUUUUUCUAAAGUGUUUGACGGUACCAUAGGAAUAAGCACCGGCUAACUCCGUGCCAG
Molecule: ribosomal RNA, 492 nt
Filed under: uncultured bacterium
Lineage: Bacteria
Description: bacterial SSU rRNA
Rfam family: Bacterial small subunit ribosomal RNA
Source: RNAcentral